CGAGGGGUGCAAGCGUUGCUCGGAAUUAUUGGGCGUAAAGGGUAGGUAGGUGGUCUCAUUUGUCAGGGGUGAAAGCCUUGGGCUUAACCUAAGAAGUGCCCCUGAAACGGUGAGACUGGAGUCCUGGAGAGGGUCGUGGAAUUCCCGGUGUAGCGGUGAAAUGCGUAGAGAUCGGGAGGAACACCAGAGGCGAAGGCGGCGACCUGGACAGGUACUGACACUCAACUACGAAAGCGUGGGGAGCAAACAGGAUUAGAUACCCUGGUAGUCCACGCUGUAAACGAUGGGUACUAGGUUUGGCGGGUCUUGACCCCUGCUGAGCCGGCGCUAACGCAAUAAGUACCCCGCCUGGGAAGUACGGUCGCAAGACUA
RNAcentral lists this ribosomal RNA (372 nucleotides) under uncultured organism. RNAcentral's name for it is "bacterial SSU rRNA". It matches the Rfam family "Bacterial small subunit ribosomal RNA", at positions 526 to 896 of the family's 1533-position model. The record is from RNAcentral.